This is a long non-coding RNA of Pleuronectes platessa (European plaice), 3474 nucleotides long. RefSeq lists it as uncharacterized. The transcript has 3 exons. The record is from RefSeq and is a predicted model, not a curated record. Lineage: Eukaryota; Metazoa; Chordata; Actinopteri; Pleuronectiformes; Pleuronectidae.
CAUAACAAGGCUGCAGAGGAAAGGUUUCUUUCUCCUCCGGCUGUGAUUUCUCUGGAAAGAGCUGACUGUAACAGCAGUAGAUAUAUAUUUUUAAAACAUUGUAUGUGCUGGUUUUAGUAGUGCAGAGCCUGUUCUAAACCUGCCUCUCUGGACCGUACUGUUCCCUUGUCCUGUGUUAAUUCCCUGGAACUACUUCAGAAUUAUUCCUUGUCAUUGACGCAGGGUUUGCACAACAGGCACGGGUGCUCAGGAAAGAGAGAGGUCGUGCCAGAACUAAUACAGAGAGGUGCUUCAUAAAACGUGGUGAGAAAAAGAUAUGAAAUCCUCCUCUGUGUCUAAUCUGCUGUGUCCGUCUGCUGUAGCAACUCCCUGUUUGCCAAGGCCACAGUAGUGUGACACCUGGUCGGUUGAAUUUUCCCUUACAAGUGAUGAGCUUGCAAAAAACUGCACUUUGAGGAAACAGUAUACAUCUGGCCAAUAACUGAAUUCCCUCAAAAGAAAAGGAACCGCCUCUGUGCUGCACCCUGUGUCUUUAUAUAUACUGUGGACUUAGGAUGAGUGUGGGCGCUUCUUCUCGACAUGAUCCAGUGAAUCUGGUGUGUCCGGCAGAACCCCAGAGACUCUCUAAUUCCAAGUCAUCUAUUUCCGAGGUCUGCAAUCAACACAAUUUUCAGACCUAAGUUCACAACUUGUCAAAAUUUAUUUAAUGAGAAUUGAACAUUGUGUCAAAUUGCACAAAACUCAGCAUCUCACUCUCUCGGGCUAUUAAAAAUACACAUGAUAAGUGUGAAUCUGAUGAACCAUUCGGAGAUAUACGUCACACAUGCAGACAGACAGACGUUUGUGGAAUAACUAAGUAGAUGGCAAUUCCAUAAACGAGAGACUUUUAGAUUUUGAGCUGACUUAUUGUGGCUCUGUUUAUGAAGUUAAUGUCCUUGUCACUUUGAAUGGAGCAGCUUCAGCGAGCACUACAUCAUUGAGAAAAAUAUGUAAAAUGCAGCAGCAUUACAGGGACAUGACAAAGUGAUGAAUGGUCUUUCUUCAGAAGAGCAUCUACUGAGGCAAAUCAUUUAUUCAUAUGAGAUACCUGUAAAAAAAAAAUUAUAUGAAUAACAAGAGAAGAAAAUUAUUUCCAAAACAUAUUAAGUUGAAGUUGGAAUAGUGCAUUCAAGAUCUAAUCUGCUUCAGCAAUGGAUAAAACAUUCAUUUUCAUAAAACAGUCGACUCCUCAAAUUCAUUCUGCACUUUUUUUUAUCACAGUAUAAACGGCUCAAUGCUGACUUUUCAGUCAGGCACACACUUGCCUGAAGCACUGAGGUUUCCUCCCUGUCAAUCAUGUGAUAAACCGCUUCAGUGGCGUCCAUGGAGAUUUUCUAAGUGGUUGUAUCUAUGACAAGCAGAUAAACCAUUUUCCAGUCACGGUUUAUUGGAAAUUGGGUUAUUAUAUCUGGCACUUUCAGGAGCACUUGAGUUAUAGUUAUUUUCAAUCCACAAUGUUGUAUUAGUUUCAUAGCUUUUAACUUAGUUACAGUUAUCAGCAGUGGUGGGAAGUGACUAAAUACAAAUAGAACAGAACUAAAGUACGUUUUUCAGGUUCCAUCACUAGAGUAUAUAUUUUUACUUGUACUACCUACAUUUUAACACAAAUAUCUUACAUUUUGAAAUGUCUACAUAACGAACACAUUUCCUCCUUGGCAGUUUUUCAUGCACAUCAUUGUUUUCUUGCUUUACCCUGUAUUACUUAAUUGUUUUUUGACUAAGUGUAGUUCAAGUUAAAUCCUACAAACUGUAUAAAUGUGACAUGAGUCUCAAUUUUUUUAUACUUUUGCUUGAGUAGAGAGGUUGAAUCAGCACUUUAUCAAGUAUCUGUACGUCUGUUUAAGUAAAGAAUGUGUGUACUUUUACCACCUCUGGUGAACGGUACACAAUCCAAGUUUCUCUGGUAUGCAUAUAAAAAUGUUACUUUUAUUUUCCUUCACAAAAAACAUUUGUUCUUUCCAAGAGAAAUGGACGAAUAAUUAUUUAGGUUGAAGUAAAUGUCGAAUCAGCUAGAUUGUUGGGAGGGUUACUUGAACUAGAAUGACACUCAGAGAGCACAUCUCCGCCAAGGCCCCACAGGCCUCUUAUGACACCAUAUUUGAAUUCACUAGAUCCUGACUCUUAUUUUUUCCAGAUAACUAAAAGACUGGCAGAGAGAAUAUUAAACAAAUUCAAUGGAGAAGAGAGGAUGAAAACACGAAAUUAAACCGGAUAAGGGAGACUCAAAGUUUGCUUGUGUGCAAACAUUGCAUUUGCCUACCUAACAAGAGCAAUUAAAAGCCCGCUCUAACUUCUAAAUGCUCAAUGCUGCUGAGAUCUCAGACUCCUUUAGGCCUUUGGCGAGGUGUUUCAGGACAUGAAAAGUAAAUAAAAAGGAACGGAACAUAUUUGUUAAUUAAUGUGGAUUCAGCUGAUGAGCCUGAGAACCUACAACACACAACCUUUUGGCAGCAAAGAAACGACAAGCUCCAAACUAGAUAACACAACUUCCCUCUGCUCCACUUCUAUAAACUGUAUGUGCUUUACAUCCUGAGGACUAUCACAUUCUGAGGAGGCAGGCUCUUGAGUGUCUAUCUAUGCUUGAGUCAACCUACUGCUGUUUCUAAAAGAAAAAAAAAUCUAUGAGCUUUGAGUAGCAUCAUCAUCAAUACCAUCUGACAUCAGACCUUUCGAAAAGCAGACGUGACAUGAGAGAAGUUCAUGUGAUGUAUUAGUUAAAUGAUAUUUAUGUCCCUCAUGGGAAGUUAUACAUUUGAAAUUGCCCUCAUUAUUUUUGCAUGUGCAUGAAAGCAAUGGUGCAUUUAUAUUUAGCCCUACUUUUAUUGGUUGCCUAAUUCGUAGCUUUGAAGCCAGAUGAUGGACAAAACAAUCUACAAAUACUUAUCUGUUUGUAAUUUUACAAGCUGUACUGUAUCAUGUCUCUCAUGACGUCAACAUUUUUGCAUUUUGAGGUUUUAUCCCACAGAUUAACCUCUUAACCUUUUUCCUAUUGCAAGGGAAACAAUUGAUGGAUUCAAUUUGUCAUAAGGUGUACCUUAUAGGUCCAGAGUCCAGAUACCGUGAAGAAUGAUCCUGAUCAUGUAAACUGGUUGGUUCUUUUCAUAAUCCCGCCAUUUUCAUCAGUAUUGUGUCAGAUGAACACCCACAGUUAUAAUCUGUAGCAUUUUCGAUCCACCUGCCUUCCCGUCUUGCUCCCCUCCUUCCUUUUACCCUGUUUUAAAAGUCUACAGCCUUGUCAGGCAACACACAAACCUCACAGGAGUGCAGAGUCUGUGCUAAUCAUUCCCUCUAUUCAUUCCCCUCCUCUCCCCCAGUUAUCUAAUAUCUAGCACUGGCACACAGGCUAAAAAUAUAUACCUGAAAAACUGAUGACUGACGGAUGAAAAACCAUCUGCUGCAUGUGAAGAUAGUUUGACUUGGGAACAAUUUGAGAUG